AUCGAAAUAGCCCAAAUUCUCUUUACUCACUCGCAAUAGGCAAAUCCUAGCUCGUCGGUGUUCUUCGUCGAUUCUUCUUCAAUCUUUGCUUAUGUGAUAUUAGUUGUGAUUUCAGCUGUCACAAUGUCUGAAUCAAACCUUACACCAUGUCUGAAACUAGUUGUGAUUCAAUUAGUAACUCAAUGAUGAUGACUUGCUUUGGUGGUGAAAUUGCUCGUUGUUUCACUUCAAGGACUUCAUUGAACCCCGAAGAAGAUUUCAUAGGUGUUCUAAACCUAAGGUACGCUUUUCAUUUAAAGUCAAUUCUUAUAAUUUCUGCUUGUAUUUUUAUGAAUCUGAAUUCUUCUCUAUGGUUCUGGAUCAUAUUGAAAAUUGUCGAUUUUGAAAACAAAAAGUGAGAAUAUAGUUCUCCGGAAAAUGCUUUGAUUGAAGUAAAUUUAUUGAAGUCUAAAUUGGAAGUGGCUACAGUGAAAAUGGAGAAUUUGAGAGAGUCGUAGAAUGCGGUUAAGAUUGAAAGAGACAAUUUGAAUAUUUUUUGAGAGUAUAAACUACUUCAAGGUGAACAAAUCAAGAAAUUUGAAAGCGAAAGUGUUGAAGUUGAAGAUGUUGUGAAUAUUGUCAUUUGUUGUGUUUGUGGUAUUUAUUGUUGCAAUUUUCAAGUGAUCUAGUUUUGUGCAAGUGUAUAUUUUUCUUGGUUACAAUUUUCAAGUAAGGAAGAAAUAUUUCCUUUAUUUGGUUGCAAUUUUCAAGUGUAAGCAAGAUAUGUUCUUCAAUGCAAUUUUCAGGUGUUAGUUUAAUCGCAAUGAGUAUUUUGAUUAGCUAAUCUUAUCUUUUGAAUUGGAUUUUGUAAUAACUGAUUUGAAAUCGCAAUGAGUAUUUUGAUUAGAGAAUUUUAUCUUUUGAAUUGGAUUUUGUAAGAACAAAUUAAUUUUGGUACUUGUCAAUUGUAAUGGUUGAAUUUUCUAUAUCUGAGAUGGGAUUUUUGAGGUUGUAGAUUUGGUUUUUCUUUGCAACAGAUAAUUAAUCUCAAACUAAUUAACAUGACCCAAAACUGUUUAAGGAAACUUAUAAGUCAACAUUAAAAUUGCACUUUCAUAAAAUAGAAAAUAGUGCCAUAAUUCUGAAACUUAAAUCACUGGUAUUAUAUUGGUGCUUGUUCAGACUAUUAAAUCUGUCACACUUCAGUUAGUCUAGUAAAAACAUAAGUUUAGCCAAUACAAGAAAGUCAUCAGCCUAUACAAAAACAUAAGUCUAGCCUUAACAUUAUUAAAGGCACCAACCUAUACAAAAAAGGUCAUCAACACAGUUUCAUCAUCCCCUUCUUGACCUUAACUUUUGAACCAUCUGUGCUUGUAGCUGGUUUGUAGUAAUUGCAUCUUUUUUCUUUCAAGUUAAGCCAAUUGAUAAUAUGGAGAGAUUUGUAGGUUCAUUAACACCAGAUUUGUCACCUCUAAAGCUUAUUACUCUAGUUCUAAGGUUCUGCAUCUUUCUCAGUUUUAUUAAAUAAGCUUCUUCAGAAAUUGUUCUUAGCCUUAGCCAAGGGUCUUCCUUAGCUAUUGGAUUCAUGUUGACUUUCUUGUGUUGGUUGGGGGGCUGUUAAGUUGAUGUCUUCCUCAGAAGCUCCUCUUCAUCAAUCAAAUCUCUCCUAGGUUGUCUCAUAUUUCUCCUAAUAGCUUAAUUUCCCUACUUAGCGAUUUGCUUCCCCUACUCAAUAGCUUGUUUUUUCUGUUUUGCAAUUUUUAUUCAUAAAAUAAAAUAAGAAAUUAAAUAAUAGAAUUGGAUUAUGAUUUUGUUGUCAAAUAGAUUGAAUAAAAAUUACCUUUUGACAACCUCUUGAAUUAUGAUUUUAUUCUCCACAAGUACUACAUGUCAUCACUUUUCCUUUCCUUGAUUGCUUCCACACUCAUUGCCUCUUAAUUGUUUCAUUCUUUUCUUUAUCCCUCAGAACCUUAGAUCUUUCGACAAGCUUGACCAUUUCUGGUGGUUAGAAAUGGUUCAGUGACAUUAAAUGAUCAAAUUUCUAGAAUGGCUCUCCCCUAACACAUUGUAACUUGUGUUUGUAAAAUACCCAGGAUGUCUCCUUACUGUAAUACUAAUCAAUUUUAGACCUAGGUUUCAUUUUCUUCUACUUCAUGGUCUUAAUUGCAUGUGGACAAGGAAUUUCAGUGAGAUCUCGUGUCCUAUAUGUGGUCUUUUUCUCUCCUAGAUUGACAAUGUGUCUAUUUGCAUCUUCAGCGACCUCAUAGUUAUUUUUCCUAUUGCCGUUCACCUUACAAACUCUAAAUAUCAUCAAAUACUCAUUAUACAACAUUUCACUUUUGGGACUAAACUCAUUAUCUUACGACUUCCUCACAACAGUCUCUUUUUGUUGCCAACCUCCCCAUUACUUUGACCCUGAUGUCUUCCAACAUUUCAAUGAUUGACUUGUAUGUUGCUACAAGUAUCCAAGUAUGGAAGGACUCUAUAAAAGUUAUUGUUCACAACAUAUACACAUUGUAUCUAAAUAAGCUUUGCACCAUCUUUUGGAAGGAUACUUGUACAAUAAAUUUUGUCUAGCCUCCUAAUCAACUUCCUUAAUCUCUUCAAGUUGGUUUUCAAACUCCUUCGAAAAUGAGGACCAUGCAUCCCACCACAAUAAUUUUUUCAGCUCACCUUAACUUCGUCUUUUGCAUCAAUUUGCCUCAACAGAUCUUGCACAAUAUUUUUGAUGUGCUUUAGGUAAAAUUGUUCUUACUGCAUCAAGCAAUCCUUGAGUAUCAAAUAAAAAUAAUUAAAUUAAAUAAAGUAAUAGUAUUAAAUAAAGGGACUUAAAUGAAUUGCAACUUAGUAGUAUAUUAUUACUUUUUGCAUAUCUUAUAUGAAUGACCUUCACCAUUCUGAAGAUCAUGUAAAUGUUGCAAUUGUUGCAUGAACAAUGUCCAAAUUCUUUUAGUCUCUUUUUCUACCACGGCCCAAGCUAGAGGUUAAAACAGUUCAUGUUAUCUUGACCAAUAACAAUCAAUACUUGUCUCUUAGCUUUUUGUUUUAAUGAAUGUACUAUCUAACCUAAUAAAUGGUCUUAACUCUGCCUUAAAAUCCAACUGUAUUGACUUGAAACAAAUAUACAUCCUAAAAAAUAUUUUGUUCUCAUUGGAUAGUGUCUUAUUAGAUAAAUUAAUUACAAUGUCAGAUUCUGGAUUGCAACUCCUCAAUUCAGUAUCAUAACCCUUUAGUUUCAUGUAGGAGUCUACAAAGCUACCACCCAGAGUCUCUAAUAUCUCCUUUUAGCUAUCUUGCACUUGGCUUUACUUACAUUUAACUCAAACACUCUAUGUAAGCCAAUCUUUAUUUCUUUGACCUUGUACUUAGGGUCACUUUGCAAUUUCUCCUUAAAAUACUGAGUUAUUUUUGUAUAAUCAAUUAAAGAGGUUUCAUAUGUUGUUUCACACUCUAUAUGAUCUACUAGUGUUUAGACACUAGCCCUAUUAGUGGCCAAAUCCCUUGAAAUCGGGCAUACAAAUGGACAACCUUCAGUACCACAUUUAUAUCUCAAUCUUAUUUUAUUACUCUUCACUACAAUCAGGUCUACCUUCUUAGUCAUAGCAUAAAAUUUGCAGAAUUAUUUUACUUUUGUUAUGUCCUGAAAGUUAGACCCUUAACAAUCUCUUUACAAUCUUGCAAACUAUCAAUCAUAUUUUUUUGUAACAAAAUUUUUCAAUUCAUCGAUAUCAUAAUCUGAAUAGCUAAACAUCAUUUGUGCCUAUUAUUAUUACUUUCACUUUCACUACAGUUUGUGCCUUUAUUAACUAUUGGUAAAAGUAAAAAUGACUCAUCAUGUACGACAAUAUCAUGUACAUCAAUAGCUCAUUCAUAGUCAGCAGUAGCAAACACAUGAAUGGAUUUAUAAUCUCAAGAGAUAAAAGAUGAUAAUGUCCUAACUCCUUCAUCUCCUACUAUUUCAAAAUAUUUUUCAGAAGAACCAAGUAUAAUAAGUUGUUGCACAAAAUCUAACUUAUAUGUGUACUCAUUGACUAAGUCAGUAAAAAAUUUAGAUCAGAAUCAUACCUUCUCCAAUAAUGGACCCAUCUCUCAUCAUAGUGUGAUUCUGGAUUAUUAAGUCACUCACCACCAUAUGAAAGUAUAUGGUAACAUUAACCAUUUUAAUAACCUACAAAAAUUUAAACAAAGUAAUUAUUACUACUAAAUAAACUGUUAAAUAUCAAAUAUAAGUCAAACUAUGAAAAGUUAACAUGUCAUAUUACUACUACAUAGCACUAAAGUUAAGUCAGCAGUUUAGGAAGAGUUAAGUAUUUAUGUUAAUUAUUCACUACUAAUUAACAUAUAAGCUAAGUGAAAUAGUUAAGUCUCAAAGCACAAUGUUAGUUAGUUAGUACUCCCAUUAUGAAAAAAGAAGAAAAAAUGGACAGUGGCGGUUUAUUACAUAUAAGUCAGCAGUCUAGGAAGAGUUAACAAGUCAUAUUACAUUGUUAAGUGUUUGAGUUAAUUACACAAUACUAAUUAAUAGAUAAGCUAAGUGAAAUAGUUAAGUCUUGAAGCAUACGAUUAGUUACUUAGUUAGCUAGUACUCACAUUAGGAAAAAAAGAAGAAAAAAUGGACAGUGGCAGUGGUAUUAAAGUUAAGCAUUCACAUUACUUUACUAAUUGUUAAGCAUUAAGAUUAAGUGUCAAACAAGGAAGAGUUAACAAGUUAUAUUACACUAGAUAAGCUAAGUGAAAUAGUUAAGUCUUUAAGCAUAUGGUUAGUUAGUUAGUACUCACAUUAGAAAAAAAAGAAGAAAACAAUGGAUUGUGGCAAUCUAUUAAAGUAUUCACAUUACUUUAUUAAUUGUUAAGCAUUAAGAUUAAGUGGUAAAGAUAAGUCAAAUAAGAAAGAGUUAACAAAUCAUAUUACACUAGAUAAGCUAAGUGAAAUAGUUAAGUCUUAAAGCAUAAGGUUAGUUAGUUAAUACUCACAUUAGGAAAAAAGAAGAAAAAAUGGACAGUGACAGUAUAUUAAAGUUUAAGUAUUCACAUUACUUUACUAACUGUUAAAUAUUUAAAAUUAAGUGUUAAUGAUAAAUCAAACUAGGAAGAGUUAACGAGUCAUAUUAUACUACAUAAGCUAAGUGAAAUAGUUAAGUUUUAAAGCAUAAGAUUAGUUAGUUAGUACUCACAUUAGGAAAGAAAAAGAAAAUAUGAAAAGUGGCAGUCUAUUAAUGUUAAGUAUUCACAUUACUUACUAAUUGUUAAGCAUUAAGAUAAGUAUUGAAGAUAAGUCAAACUAGGAAGAGUUCAUAAGUCAUAUUACACUAGAUAAGUUAAGUGAAAUAGUUAAGUCUUAAAACAUACUACACUGUUAAGUAUUUGAGUUAAUUACACAAUACUAAUAAACAGAUAAGCUAAGUGAAAUAGUUAAGUCUUAAAGCAUACAGUUGGUUAGUUAGUUAGUACUCACAUUAAGGGGAAAAAAAAGAAAAAAUGGACAGUGACACUGGCAUUAAAGUUAAGUAUUCGAAUUACUUUACUAACGAUUAAGCAUUAAAGUUAAGUGUUAAAGAUAAGUCAAACUAGGAAGAGUUAACAAGUCAUAUUACAUUAUUGAGUAAAAACAAAAUGAUAUUGAACUGUUAAGUAUUAAAGUUAAGUUAAAAAUAAGUCAUAUUAAACUAUUAUGUAUUUAAGUUAAUUAUGCACUAAAAUAGUUAAGUAUUAAAGCAUAAAGUUAGUUAAUUAGUCAUAUUAGGAAAAAGAAGGCAAAAUUGGUAGUGAUAUUAAAGUUAAGUUAGUAGUCCACUAGAUAUAAACUCAAAGUAUUUAAGUUAAGUCAAACAAGUCAUAUUAAUUCAUAUUAAACAACUUGGCAUCAUACUAUAAUCUUAAAAUUAAACAACUGACAGUUUUUUGAAAAUUCUAGUGGUUGGGGCCCCCAAGAAUUGUUGGGUUCAAAAGUAAUCAGGGCUUCAUGCGAAAAUUUACAAUUAUAAAUCAAGACGGUGAUAAAUUAGAUGGCAAAAACUUAUACUAAAAAUAUAAUAUUAUUAUAUGAAAAUUAAUAUAACUAAAUCUCCCCAUAAACAAAACUCUUAAAUGUUUACAUUGUGGAUGUUAUUGUCUUAUGCUAUGAGAAUAGGGUUCUUCAAUUUAUAGAUCUCCAAUUUUUUUCUAAGGAAAGAAUAACCAAAUAUGGAAGAUAAUUAUAUUUUCCUUUCAUGAAAAGUUCAACACUUUAUGGUAAUACUUUGACUUUCCUUAAAAUAAAUAAAACUUAAAACAUGAUAGAAAAUCGGGGAAAAAUCCUAACAAAUCUCCCCUCUUGACUGGAUUUUCUUAACAAAACUUGAUUCGUCUUCUUCACAUGCAUGAUAAUCUUCAUUCUUCACAUAAUCUUCCUCGUUGUUGCUUGCCAUGGUUAAAAAUAAAGUUUAAAAUAUAUGGGUUAAAAAUUAUUUAAAAAUAUUUUAUUUUUAAUAGUGUAGCAACAUAAAUGUUGAAAAUAUGGUUUGUUUACAUCCCUACUCUAUUCAAAUAAGGUGAAACGUCGUGAUGACUCAAAAAAUAAACAUUUGAUUCAAUUUUAAAAGAAUUUUAAGAAUAAACAAAUUUUAAAGGAGUCGCCACCUAAUUUUAGGAAAAUUAGGAAAUCAAUUUUAAAAAAAAUGUCUACGAAACCAUUAGAUUCUAGGUAAGGGGUUCAAGUGAUUUCGAAGGGAAGGUGUUAAGCAUCCUUCGAAAUCCACAAAUGUGGUUCCCGACUGAAUUCAUUUUUUCAAAUUGAGGAAAAGAUAAAAAUAAUAUACAAGUAUAAUAAACAUACAAUAUACGCAAUUAAUAAAAUAAAACAAUAAUAUAAGAAACGAUCUAAAUUAAUAUACAAUAAUGAAUCAAAAAUAUUGUUCAAACUUUGUUCGAAUAACUUCAAUGGAAAGCAACUAUGGGUACCUGUAAAGAUACUUAGUAAAAAUGUUAGUACUAAAUAAAUAUGAAUAAAAAUAAAUGAAUUAAAUAAUAAUUUGAAAAUAAAAACCCGUCUUAUUAACAUGAGAGGCCUUGGAAAUCGACGGUAAUUUCUUCAUCGGCCAAUUUUAACAUACAAAAUAUAUAAACUUAAACUAAAUUUUCAUCUUUAAUAUUGGGGAGGCCUCAAAAAACCGAUGGAGAGAUUUUUUCAUUGGCCAAUUUUUACAUAUAAAAACUACAAACAUACUAAAUUUCUGUCUUUUAAAAUGGGAAGGCCUCCAAAACCGACGGAGAGAUUUUCUCAUUGGCCAGUCUUAACAAACAAAGCACAUAUCGUAUAAAACAAAUAAUAGCUGGAUAAUAUUGAACAAUAGCAGCAACCUGGAGUCAACAAUCAUAUGAAGCUAACAAAACCAAUAUAGGGUAACAUAAAAAAUUUAACUAAUAAUACUAAACAAAAUAAUACUAUUAACAAAUAUUUAAAUGGUGACCAAAAUAGUUGCUAGAAAUUCUAAAAAAUAAAACAACUACAUACAAUUAAUUCUAAAAGAAAAAGUGAUUAAAAGUAGCCAAACGUUUAAGUAUAAUAGGAUAGUAAUAUGAUUUGGAGCAAACACAUGAUAAACUUUAAUGGAGGAAAAUUUAAUUUCAAGCAGAAUAAUAAGACAACGAAAUAAACAAAAUUUAAUCAACUCAAUAAAAAAUGUAACAAAUUCAACCAAAGAAACUACAAAAAGACAAUUGAAAAUGAGAAUAAAUUUAAAUCAAUAAUACUUGGAACACAAAACUAGUAGCAUCUAAAGCAAUAUGCAUUAAAUAAUCAACAAAAGUAGUAAAAAUGUCCCAAAACAAUGUUGUUCACCAAAAUGUUUAAAAAUAAUUAAAUCAAUUCCAAAAAUAGAAAUGAAUACCACCAUAAGUCAAAUUACAAUAACAACACUAAUAAAGGUUACCGGAUUACGCUUUCCUCCUGGCAGAUCUGAAAAUGUGAUGUUGCUUUGCUUGUUGAGCCUAGCCGGAGCUUGAUUGGUUGUUCGCCGGAGAUGGAGCCACGUGAAAUCUGCAAAACAGAAACAACAUAAAAAUUGUGAAAAGGAAAGGGGAAGGGGCCUGGUGUUGUUUUCUUCUUCUUUUCUCCGGCUCAUCGGAGUUUGCAACUCCUCGCCGUAGCUGCUGGUUGCAUCAAACAGGGAGGUUGUAGAGGUUGAGUGAUGAUUCUCGCUGGAAAAAAGAGAGAAAUGAAUGGUGGUUUCGCGUGGCUGUUCGGAGCUUUAGUUGCUAGUUUCUGUGGUUGUUUUCCGAUGGAUUUUGGUGGUGGAGUGUCGCGCCCCGUUUUUUACAAAACAAGUUUUGGGUACACAACUUAACAACUCUUUUUAGGCUUAGUUUUAAAAUAGGAAAUAAGAGGAUUCAAU
Molecule: long non-coding RNA, 8351 nt
Filed under: Solanum tuberosum (potato)
Lineage: Eukaryota; Viridiplantae; Streptophyta; Magnoliopsida; Solanales; Solanaceae
Description: long non-coding RNA (STUB_LNC001851)
Source: RNAcentral